AGAACGGGGAAUUAGGGUUCUAUUCCGGAGAGGGAGCCUGAGAAACGGCUACCACUUCCAAGGGGGGCAGGCGCGCAAAUUACCCAAUCCUAAUUCUGGGAGGUAGUGACAAGAAAUACCAUUGGCUGGCACUACGUGCGAGCUAUUUGGAAUGAGAACAAUUUAAACACCUUAACGAGGAACAAAUGGAGGGCAAGUCUGGUGCCAGCAGCCGCGGUAAUUCCAGCUCCAUCAGUGUAUAUUAACGCUGUUGCGGUUAAAAAGCCCGUAGUUGGAUUUCGGAGUUGCGAAGGUCAAGACCCAUCGAAUCGGUGUGGUCCGACAGUCGCCUCCUACCUUUUCGGGUAACAGCCUCGCUUCCUUUUGCGGGUUGCGAUGUGCAGUUCCUGAUCAUUUACUUUGAUAAAAUCAGAGUGUUCAAAGCAGGCGUCACUUGCCUUGAAUGUUGCCGCAAGGGAUAAUAGAAUAUGACUUCGGUCUUAUUUUGUUGGUUUCUAGGGCUGAAGUAAUGACUAAUAGGGACAGUUGGGGGCGCUCGUAUUGAGUUGUCAGAGGUAAAAUUCUAGGAUUUACUCAAGACGGACUACUGCGAAAGCAUUCGCCAAGGAUGUUUUCAUUAAUCAAGAACGAAAGUAGGGGGAUCGAAGAUGAUCAGAUACCGUCGUAGUCUCUACCAUAAACUAUGUGGACCAACGAUCCGAGGAAGUUACAUGGAUGACUCUCCGGGCAGUUUGUGAGAAAUCAUAAGUAUUUGCAUUCCGGGGGGAGUAUGGUCGCAAGGCUGAAACUUAAAGGAAUUGACGGAAGGGCACCACCAGGAGUGGAACCUGCGGCUUAAUUUGACCCAACACGGGGAAACUUACCAGGUCCGGACACAGUUAGGAUUGACAGAUUGAGAGCUCUUUCUUGAUUCUGUGGGUGGUGGUGCAUGGCCGUUUUUUAGUUGGUGGAGUGAUUUGUCUGGUUAAUUCCGUUAACGAACGAGACCUUAACCUAUUAAUUAGUUAUGCGAACUUGGACUUAGGUCCUUUCAGUUCGUGGACAACUUCUUAGAGGGACUCUCGGCAUCUCUAGCCGAUGGAAGUUUGAGGCUAAAACAGGUCUGUGAUGCCCUUAGAUGUCCUGGGCCGCACGCGCGUUACACUGACGAAUGCAACGAGUAUAUAUCCUUCUCCGAAGGGAGUGGGUAUGCUUUGAAAAGUUCGUCGUGAUGGGGAUUGAACCUUGCAAUUAUUGUUCAUGAACGAGGAAUUCUUAGUAAGCGUAGUUCAUCAAACUGCGUUGAUUACGUCCCUGCCCUUUGUACACACCGCCCGUCGCUAGUACCGAUUGAAUGAUCCGGUGAGGAUUCAGGACGGCGGAUUUUAGUUUGCCUGAAAGGGUAAGCGGGUCCUGCCGAAAUUUGUUCAAACCGUGUCAUUUAGAGGAACUAAAAGUCGUAACAAGGUU
RNAcentral lists this ribosomal RNA (1449 nucleotides) under metagenome. RNAcentral's name for it is "SSU rRNA". It matches the Rfam family "Eukaryotic small subunit ribosomal RNA", at positions 359 to 1801 of the family's 1831-position model. The record is from RNAcentral.